GAUGAACGCUGGCGGCGUGCUUAACACAUGCAAGUCGAACGGAAAGGCCUCAGCUUGCUGGGGUGCUCGAGUGGCGAACGGGUGAGUAACACGUAGGUGAUCUGCCUUUCACUUCGGGAUAAGCUUGGGAAACUGGGUCUAAUACCGGAUAUUCACGGCACCGUGGUUGGUGUGGUGGAAAGCUUUUGCGGUGGGAGAUGAGCUUCCGGCCUAUCAGCUUGUUGGUGGGGUAAUGGCCUACCAAGGCGGCGACGGGUAGCCGGCCUGAGAGGGUGUGCGGCCACAUUGGGACUGAGAUACAGCCCAGACUCCUACGGGAGGCAGCAGUGGAGAAUGAUGCACAAUGGGCGGAAGCGUGAUGCAGCGACGCCGUGUGGGGGAAGAAGGCCUUCGGGUAGUAAACUCCUUACGUCAGGAACGAAGUUUGUUUGACGGAACCUGGAUAAGAAGCACCGGCAAACUACGU
This 466-nucleotide ribosomal RNA is filed under the name uncultured bacterium. Its description in RNAcentral is "partial 16S ribosomal RNA". It matches the Rfam family "Bacterial small subunit ribosomal RNA", at positions 28 to 506 of the family's 1533-position model. The record is from RNAcentral.